This 67-nucleotide transfer RNA is filed under the name Lutzomyia trinidadensis. RNAcentral describes it as "tRNA-Phe". Lineage: Eukaryota; Metazoa; Arthropoda; Insecta; Diptera; Psychodidae. The record is from RNAcentral.
AUUCAAAUAGCUCAAAUCUUAAGAGCAUAAUAUUGAAGCUAUUAAGGUGAUUAUUAAUCUUUGAAUA